UACGGAGGGUGCAAACGUUGCUCGGAAUUAUUGGGCGUAAAGCGCACGUAGGCGGUUCGUUAUGUCGGAUGUGAAAGCCCUCGGCUUAACCGAGGAAGUGCAUCCGAAACUGGCGAGCUUGAGUAUGGAAGAGGGUCUCGGAAUUCCCGGUGUAGAGGUGAAAUUCGUAGAUAUCGGGAGGAACACCAGUGGCGAAGGCGGAGACCUGGGCCAAUACUGACGCUGAGGUGCGAAAGCUAGGGGAGCAAACGGG
RNAcentral lists this ribosomal RNA (253 nucleotides) under uncultured bacterium. RNAcentral describes it as "partial 16S ribosomal RNA". It matches the Rfam family "Bacterial small subunit ribosomal RNA", at positions 524 to 776 of the family's 1533-position model. The record is from RNAcentral.